RNAcentral lists this ribosomal RNA (253 nucleotides) under uncultured bacterium. RNAcentral's name for it is "partial 16S ribosomal RNA". It matches the Rfam family "Bacterial small subunit ribosomal RNA", at positions 524 to 776 of the family's 1533-position model. The record is from RNAcentral.
UACGGAGGGGGCUAGCGUUGUUCGGAAUUACUGGGCGUAAAGGGCGCGUAGGCGGCCUUCUAAGUCAGACGUGAAAUCCCUCGGCUCAACCCGGGAACUGCGUCCGAAACUGGCAGGCUUGAAUCCGGGAGAGGGAUGUGGAAUUCCAGGUGUAGCGGUGAAAUGCGUAGAUAUCUGGAGGAACAUCGGUGGCGAAGGCGACAUCCUGGACCGGUAUUGACGCUGAGGCGCGAAAGCCAGGGGAGCAAACGGG